Molecule: ribosomal RNA, 663 nt
Filed under: uncultured cyanobacterium
Lineage: Bacteria; Bacillati; Cyanobacteriota
Description: bacterial SSU rRNA
Rfam family: Bacterial small subunit ribosomal RNA
Source: RNAcentral
CGGACGGGUGAGUAACGCGUGAGAAUCUGCCUUCAGGUCUGGGACAACCACUGGAAACGGUGGCUAAUACCGGAUGUGCCGCAAGGUGAAAGGUUAACUGCCUGAAGAUGAGCUCGCGUCUGAUUAGCUAGUUGGAAGUGUAAAGGACUCCCAAGGCGACGAUCAGUAGCUGGUCUGAGAGGACGAUCAGCCACACUGGGACUGAGACACGGCCCAGACUCCUACGGGAGGCAGCAGUGGGGAAUUUUCCGCAAUGGGCGAAAGCCUGACGGAGCAAUACCGCGUGAGGGAGGAAGGCUCUUGGGUCGUAAACCUCUUUUCUCAGGGAAGAACAAAAUGACGGUACCUGAGGAAUAAGCAUCGGCUAACUCCGUGCCAGCAGCCGCGGUAAUACGGAGGAUGCAAGCGUUAUCCGGAAUGAUUGGGCGUAAAGCGUCCGCAGGUGGCAAUGUAAGUCUGCUGUUAAAGAGUCUAGCUCAACUAGAUAAGAGCAGUGGAAACUACAUAGCUAGAGUACGUUCGGGGCAGAGGGAAUUCCUGGUGUAGCGGUGAAAUGCGUAGAGAUCAGGAAGAACACCGGUGGCGAAGGCGCUCUGCUAGGCCGUAACUGACACUGAGGGACGAAAGCUAGGGGAGCGAAUGGGAUUAGAUACCCCAGUAGUC